UGGAUAUUGGACCAUAAUAGGUAAUGUCCAAUUUAAAAUUUAAAGUUUUUAAGUUUAAGUUCUUAGACCACAUUCAUUAUGUGUCAGAAACCUGUGAUGUGUCAACUAUUUAAUCACAUCACAAUCCAAAUUCAGAGCUGUAUCAAGCUUGAAUGUUGUGUCCAUACUUGCCCCAUUGUUCAGGGUUCGAACUCUGCAGUCGUAUAAAGCUGUGCCCUGUGGAGCAUCUGGUUACUUUUUACUAAAAAGAGUGCUUUAAAUUGAAUACAUUAAUGAAAUGAAAUUAAGAAUAUUUCAACACAGACCUGAAAACGCGUUAAGUGGUGAUUCAAAUUCAAAUUUCUUUCUCUUGUUAAAAUAAUUUCAUACAGGCAGCUAAAUAAAAAAAAAAUAAUAAUUUCUUUUUAUUGAUAACAAAAUUCAUAUUGGUCUUACUUGGCUAUUACUGAAAAACUGAUAUACCUUAACAAUCUGGUUACAACAAAACAAUUUAUUUAAACAAAAGAGUUAUCGCUCUGCCUCAUUCAAUUGUGUCCACAGAGUUUUAAAUAAACAUGGAAACCUGUUAUGUAAUCAUUCAAAAUGGCUCUAUAAAUUGAGUGUAAACAAAACCGUCAUGAGGUCUUCAAAAUGAUCUGCCUUGAAGAAUACUGAAGCCACGUGAGACAGGUUCUGCUCAGCCUCAUGGACCAUCUGAGAUCACCAAGGUUUUUAGUAUGAUUAUGUUGCUUAGUAUUUUUUGUAGGCUAUCAUUGUUUUUCUUAUUUUGUCUUAGUUUUGUAGUUCUCUUUGUUUUAUUAGUUAUGAUGGUCCCUUUGGUAACUGUCGCUUCUUUUUUAGUGUAUUUUUUAUUAUUUAUUUAGUAAGCCAUACAGGAGAUAUAUUUUUUUGUACAUUUUUGUGUUGUUAUUUUUGUUAUGUGAGAUUAGUUUUCCCACAUUAUAAAGUUUUGCAUGUAAAUUUGUUUUUGCAUAAAAUUUAAUAAGUUUUGAUUUGUCUUUGAUUUAUAAAAAUAAUGCUUCUUUGUGGCUAUAUGUGUGAUCAGAAGCACUGUAGUAGGUUAUUUUUGUUUGUGUUGUGAAAACAAAAUGUAACUGUUAAAAGAUAUGAACUUUAAUCAUGUUAAUAGCUUAUUAAUAAUUUUACAUACAUGUACAUAUCAUGAAAUACAGUCUCCUGGAUAUUCAGUUGAUAUUAAUUUCAUUUUUUGUGCAACUGCAUUCCAAAAGCUGUACAAUCAGCAUUUAAAAACAAAGAAUUAUGGAAAAUAUUUUUGAAUAUUAUACGGUUUCAUCUAUUCAAAGUGAGCUCUUUUCUGGAUGAACUUCUUAUUUAUUUCAGUUUUUUUCUUUUUUUUUAGUAGGAAAAAGAAAGACUAUUGUCUUUUAGAAACUGAAAAUAGACAAGAUCACAUAUUAUAUUUAUCACAUAAUUUAUAAUUGAGAACAAAUUCCAUCAAGAAAAAUUAGAAAAGUAUUCACUAUUGUGAUAAGUUUCA
RNAcentral lists this long non-coding RNA (1498 nucleotides) under Mytilus galloprovincialis (Mediterranean mussel). The record is from RNAcentral. Lineage: Eukaryota; Metazoa; Mollusca; Bivalvia; Mytilida; Mytilidae.